This 880-nucleotide ribosomal RNA is filed under the name Escherichia coli. RNAcentral's name for it is "partial 23S ribosomal RNA". It matches the Rfam family "Bacterial large subunit ribosomal RNA", at positions 305 to 1191 of the family's 2925-position model. Lineage: Bacteria; Pseudomonadati; Pseudomonadota; Gammaproteobacteria; Enterobacterales; Enterobacteriaceae. The record is from RNAcentral.
AGAGCCUGAAUCAGUGUGUGUGUUAGUGGAAGCGUCUGGAAAGGCGCGCGAUACAGGGUGACAGCCCCGUACACAAAAAUGCACAUGCUGUGAGCUCGAUGAGUAGGGCGGGACACGUGGUAUCCUGUCUGAAUAUGGGGGGACCAUCCUCCAAGGCUAAAUACUCCUGACUGACCGAUAGUGAACCAGUACCGUGAGGGAAAGGCGAAAAGAACCCCGGCGAGGGGAGUGAAAAAGAACCUGAAACCGUGUACGUACAAGCAGUGGGAGCACGCUUAGGCGUGUGACUGCGUACCUUUUGUAUAAUGGGUCAGCGACUUAUAUUCUGUAGCAAGGUUAACCGAAUAGGGGAGCCGAAGGGAAACCGAGUCUUAACUGGGCGUUAAGUUGCAGGGUAUAGACCCGAAACCCGGUGAUCUAGCCAUGGGCAGGUUGAAGGUUGGGUAACACUAACUGGAGGACCGAACCGACUAAUGUUGAAAAAUUAGCGGAUGACUUGUGGCUGGGGGUGAAAGGCCAAUCAAACCGGGAGAUAGCUGGUUCUCCCCGAAAGCUAUUUAGGUAGCGCCUCGUGAAUUCAUCUCCGGGGGUAGAGCACUGUUUCGGCAAGGGGGUCAUCCCGACUUACCAACCCGAUGCAAACUGCGAAUACCGGAGAAUGUUAUCACGGGAGACACACGGCGGGUGCUAACGUCCGUCGUGAAGAGGGAAACAACCCAGACCGCCAGCUAAGGUCCCAAAGUCAUGGUUAAGUGGGAAACGAUGUGGGAAGGCCCAGACAGCCAGGAUGUUGGCUUAGAAGCAGCCAUCAUUUAAAGAAAGCGUAAUAGCUCACUGGUCGAGUCGGCCUGCGCGGAAGAUGUAACGGGGCUAAACCAUG